GGAGAGAUGGCUCAGUGGUUAAGAGCACUCACUGCUAUUGCACAGGACCUGGGUUUGAUUCCCAGUACCUGCA
Molecule: transfer RNA, 73 nt
Filed under: Neotoma lepida (desert woodrat)
Lineage: Eukaryota; Metazoa; Chordata; Mammalia; Rodentia; Cricetidae
Rfam family: tRNA
About the family: Transfer RNA (tRNA) molecules are approximately 80 nucleotides in length. Their secondary structure includes four short double-helical elements and three loops (D, anti-codon, and T loops). Further hydrogen bonds mediate the characteristic L-shaped molecular structure. tRNAs have two regions of fundamental functional importance: the anti-codon, which is responsible for specific mRNA codon recognition, and the 3' end, to which the tRNAs corresponding amino acid is attached (by aminoacyl-tRNA synthetases). tRNAs cope with the degeneracy of the genetic code in two manners: having more than one tRNA (with a specific anti-codon) for a particular amino acid; and 'wobble' base-pairing, i.e. permitting non-standard base-pairing at the 3rd anti-codon position.
Source: Rfam by way of RNAcentral